AACGAACGCUGGCGGCAUGCCUAACACAUGCAGGUCGAACGAGAUCCUUCGGGGUCUAGUGGCGCACGGGUGCGUAACGCGUGGGAAUCUGCCCUUAGGUUCGGAAUAACAGUUAGAAAUGACUGCUAAUACCGGAUGAUGACGUUAAGUCCAAAGAUUUAUCGCCUGAGGAUGAGCCCGCGUAGGAUUAGCUAGUUGGUGUGGUAAAGGCGCACCAAGGCGACGAUCCUUAGCUGGUCUGAGAGGAUGAUCAGCCACACUGGGACUGAGACACGGCCCAGACUCCUACGGGAGGCAGCAGUGGGGAAUAUUGGACAAUGGGCGCAAGCCUGAUCCAGCAAUGCCGCGUGAGUGAUGAAGGCCUUAGGGCUGUAAAGCUCUUUUACCCGGGAUGAUAAUGACAGUACCGGGAGAAUAAGCCCCGGCUAACUCCGUG
This 436-nucleotide ribosomal RNA is filed under the name uncultured bacterium. Its description in RNAcentral is "partial 16S ribosomal RNA". It matches the Rfam family "Bacterial small subunit ribosomal RNA", at positions 29 to 507 of the family's 1533-position model. The record is from RNAcentral.